RNAcentral lists this ribosomal RNA (253 nucleotides) under uncultured bacterium. RNAcentral describes it as "partial 16S ribosomal RNA". It matches the Rfam family "Bacterial small subunit ribosomal RNA", at positions 524 to 776 of the family's 1533-position model. The record is from RNAcentral.
GACGUAGGGGGCAAGCGUUAUUCGGAAUCAUUGGGCGUAAAGCGCUCGUAGGCGGGAAGGCAAGUCCGUGUUGAAAGACCUCGGCUCAACUGAGGGACCGGCUCGGAUACUGUUUUUCUUGAGGCAUUCAGAGGGUGAUGGAAUUCCCGGUGUAGCGGUGAAAUGCGUAGAUAUGUGGAGGAACACCAGUGGCGAAGGCGACUCUCUGGUCUGUCACUGACGCUGAGGCGCGAAAGCGUGGGGAGCAAACAGG